RNAcentral lists this ribosomal RNA (1355 nucleotides) under uncultured marine eukaryote. RNAcentral describes it as "SSU rRNA". It matches the Rfam family "Eukaryotic small subunit ribosomal RNA", at positions 411 to 1779 of the family's 1831-position model. The record is from RNAcentral.
CACUUCUAAGGAAGGCAGCAGGCGCGCAAAUUACCCAAUCCUGACUCAGGGAGGUAGUGACAAGAAAUAACAAUAAACCGGCUUAUGCCGGUUUAAUUGGAAUGAGUACAAUUUAAACAUCUUAACGAGGAACAAUUGGAGGGCAAGUCUGGUGCCAGCAGCCGCGGUAAUUCCAGCUCCAAUAGCGUAUACUAAAGUUGUUGCAGUUAAAAAGCUCGUAGUUGGAUUUCUGUGGGGACGGAGCGGCCGGCCGCAACACGCGGUUCGAGCUAGCGCUUUCCCUACAUCCUGCCGCGAACCGUGCUACCAUUAAUUUGGUGGCGCCGGGGAUCGGCUCGAUUACUUUGAGAAAAAUAGAGUGUUCAAAGCAGGCCACAUGCCUUGAAUAAGUUAGCAUGGAAUAAUAACUAAGGACUUCGGUUCUAUUUUGUUGGUGUUCGGGACUGAAGUAAUGAUUGAUAGGGACAGUUGGGGCGGUCUGUAUUCCAAAGCGAGAGGUGAAAUUCUUAGACCUUCGGAAGACAAACAGCUGCGAAAGCGUUCCGCAAGGAUGUUCCCUUUGAUCAAGAACGAAAGUUGGGGGAUCGAAGACGAUCAGAUACCGUCGUAGUCUCAACUAUAAACUAUACCAGCUAGGGAUCGGCCAACGUUAUUUAAACCGACUUGGUCGGCACCUUAUGAGAAAUCAAAGCAUCUGGGUUCCGGGGGGAGUAUGGUCGCAAGGCUGAAACUUAAAGGAAUUGACGGAAGGGCACCACCAGCCGUGGAGCCUGUGGCUUAAUUUGACUCAACACGGGAAAACUUACCAGGUCCAGACAUAGUAAGGAUUGACAGAUUGAUAGCUCUUUCUUGAUUCUGUGGGUGGUGGUGCAUGGCCGUUCUUAGUUGGUGGAGUGAUUUGUCUGGUUAAUUCCGUUAACGAACGAGACCCCAGCCUGCUAAAUAGCGCGUGUGAGCUUUGCUCGCAGCGAGCUUCUUAGAGGGACUAUGAUGCGCGAUAGCACAUGGAAGUUUGGGGCAAUAACAGGUCUGUGAUGCCCUUAGAUGUUCUGGGCCGCACACGGGCUACACUGGCGCCUGCAACGAGCAUAUCAGCUGGCCCGAGAGGGUCUUGGCUAAUCUUUUGAACCGGCGCCGUGCUUGGGAUUGACCUUUGCAAUUGUUGGUCAUGCAACGAGGAAUGCCUUGUAAACGCGAGUCAUCAGCUCGCAUUGAAUACGUCCCUGCCCUUUGUACACACCGCCCGUCGCUCCUACCGAUGAAUGUUCCGAUGAAAUUUUCGGAGAGUGCCUGUGAACUUGGCUCUGCCUUGCGAACGGGAAGCUCAAAGUCACUUAAAUCUGAACAUUUCGAGG